This 505-nucleotide ribosomal RNA is filed under the name uncultured bacterium. Its description in RNAcentral is "partial 16S ribosomal RNA". It matches the Rfam family "Bacterial small subunit ribosomal RNA", at positions 28 to 507 of the family's 1533-position model. The record is from RNAcentral.
GACGAACGCUGGCGGCGUGCUUAACACAUGCAAGUCGAACGGUGAAGCGCUUGCCUUUUUGGUGGGUGUGGAUGAGUGGCGAACGGGUGAGUAACACGUGAGUAACCUGCCCUCUUCUUCUGGAUAACCUCAUGAAAGUGGGGCUAAUACGGGGUAUUCCGGGUCUGUCGCAUGGCGGGUUUGGGAAAGAUUGCGCCUUUGGGUGUUUUCGGUGGGGGAUGGGCUCGCGGCCUAUCAGCUUGUUGGUGGGGUGAUGGCCUACCAAGGCGGUGACGGGUAGCCGGCCUGGGAGGGUGGACGGCCACACUGGGACUGAGACACGGCCCAGACUCCUGCGGGAGGCAGCAGUGGGGAAUAUUGCACAAUGGGCGCAAGCCUGAUGCAGCGACGCCGCGUGAGGGAUGGAGGCCUUCGGGUUGUGAACCUCUUUCGCCAGUGAAGCAGGCCUGCCUCGUUUGUGGGUGGGUUGACGGUAGCUGGAUAAGAAGCGCCGGCUAACUACGUG